CGCCCGGUUACUUUCCGAACCCGGAAGCUAAGCCUUAUUGCGCCGAUGGUACUGCGAGGGGGACCUCGUGGGAGAGUAGGACGCCGCCGAAC
Molecule: ribosomal RNA, 92 nt
Filed under: Streptomyces hazeniae
Lineage: Bacteria; Bacillati; Actinomycetota; Actinomycetes; Kitasatosporales; Streptomycetaceae
Source: RNAcentral